GACGAACGCUGGCGGCGUGCCUAACACAUGCAAGUCGAGCGGUAAGGCCCUUUCGGGGGUACACGAGCGGCGAACGGGUGAGUAACACGUGGGUGACCUGCCCUCAGCUCUGGGAUAAGCCUGGGAAACCGGGUCUAAUACUGGAUAUGACUCCAUGACGCAUGUUGUGGGGUGGAAAGCCUUGUGCGGCUGAGGAUGGGCCCGCGGCCUAUCAGCUUGUUGGUGGGGUGANGGCCUACCAAGGCGACGACGGGUGGCCGGCCUGAGAGGGCGACCGGCCACACUGGGACUGAGACACGGCCCAGACUCCUACGGGAGGCAGCAGUGGGGAAUCUUGCGCAAUGGGCGAAAGCCUGACGCAGCGACGCCGCGUGAGGGAUGACGGCCUCGGUUGUAAC
This 398-nucleotide ribosomal RNA is filed under the name uncultured bacterium. RNAcentral describes it as "bacterial SSU rRNA". It matches the Rfam family "Bacterial small subunit ribosomal RNA", at positions 28 to 429 of the family's 1533-position model. The record is from RNAcentral.